Molecule: ribosomal RNA, 149 nt
Filed under: uncultured methanogenic archaeon
Lineage: Archaea; Methanobacteriati; Methanobacteriota
Description: partial 16S ribosomal RNA
Rfam family: Archaeal small subunit ribosomal RNA
Source: RNAcentral
ACGGGGUGCAGCAGGCGCGAAAACUUCACACUGGAGGCAACUCCGAUGAGGGAAUUCCUAGUGCUAGCACAUUAGUGCUAGCUUUUCUUAAGCGUAGAUAACUUAAGGAAUAAGGGCUGGGUAAGACGGGUGCCAGCCGCCGCGGUAAU